RNAcentral lists this transfer RNA (64 nucleotides) under Callimenellus fumidus. Its description in RNAcentral is "tRNA-Cys". Lineage: Eukaryota; Metazoa; Arthropoda; Insecta; Orthoptera; Tettigoniidae. The record is from RNAcentral.
GACCUUAUAUUCAAGGAAUGAUAUUAGACUGCAAUUCUAAAGGUGUAGUAAUAUACUAAGGUUU